This 446-nucleotide ribosomal RNA is filed under the name uncultured Gordoniaceae bacterium. RNAcentral's name for it is "bacterial SSU rRNA". It matches the Rfam family "Bacterial small subunit ribosomal RNA", at positions 28 to 473 of the family's 1533-position model. Lineage: Bacteria; Bacillati; Actinomycetota; Actinomycetes; Mycobacteriales; Gordoniaceae. The record is from RNAcentral.
GACGAACGCUGGCGGCGUGCUUAGCACAUGCAAGUCGAACGGUAAGGCCCUUCGGGGUACACGAGUGGCGAACGGGUGAGUAACACGUGGGUGAUCUGCCCUGCACUUUGGGAUAAGCCUGGGAAACUGGGUCUAAUACCGAAUACACCCUGCUGGUCGCAUGGCCUGGUGGGGGAAAGCUUUUGCGGUGUGGGAUGGGCCCGCGGCCUAUCAGCUUGUUGGUGGGGUGAUGGCCUACCAAGGCGACGACGGGUAGCCGGCCUGAGAGGGUGUCCGGCCACACUGGGACUGAGAUACGGCCCAGACUCCUACGGGAGGCAGCAGUGGGGAAUAUUGCACAAUGGGCGCAAGCCUGAUGCAGCGACGCCGCGUGCAGGAAGACUGCCCUAUGGGUUGUAAACUGCUUUUAUACAGGAAGAAACACUCCCUCGAGAAGGGAGCUUGAC